AAACAAACCCCACGCUUUGUCGACAAGAAAACAAACUCUUUCAACUUCAUUUCUCUCUCUCUCUCACUACACAGCUUUAAUUGAACCCCAAUUCCUCUCUCUCUCUAUAUAUCUUCACCAAACAAAUUUACACAGAAACUACAAUCUUGAACUUGUUCUUGCCAAAAUUUCUUUGUAAAAGUUAGAGCUUUUUGGUGAAUUCUUGGUGUACUUUUUCUGGGUUUUCGAUGAACUAAAUAACCCAGAAAGGGAUUUCUGAUUCUUUAGCUUGUUGGUGAGUUAUUGCCAAAUUUGUCUUUUUUGGGACUCUUGCUCUGUUUUCUGCCUGAUGAAUUGGCCAUUUCUUGCAAAAUCUGUCCCUUUUUGCAAAUUUUAGCUCUGUUUUUGCUCUGUUUUCCGCCUGGUGAAUUGGCCAUUUCUUGCAAAGCUUGUCCUUUUUUGCAAAUUUUAGCUCUGUUUUACUCUGUUUUCUGCCUGGUGAAUUGGUCAUUUCUUGCAAAGUUUCUCCUUUUUUGGAAAUUUUAGCUUUGUUUUUACUCUGUUUUCUGCUUGGUGAAUUGGUCAUUUCUUGCAAAGUUUGUCUUUUUUGGAAUUUUUAGCUCUUUUUAACUCUAUUUUCUGUCUUGUAAAUGGGGCCUGGAUUUUGUUAGUCCAAUUAAAAUACGCAUUUCUCUUUUGUUCUUUCAUUCUGAUUUAUUAAUCCUUUUUUUCAAG
This 714-nucleotide long non-coding RNA is filed under the name Nicotiana benthamiana. RNAcentral describes it as "long non-coding RNA (NBEN_LNC020696)". The record is from RNAcentral. Lineage: Eukaryota; Viridiplantae; Streptophyta; Magnoliopsida; Solanales; Solanaceae.